Molecule: ribosomal RNA, 450 nt
Filed under: uncultured bacterium
Lineage: Bacteria
Description: partial 16S ribosomal RNA
Rfam family: Bacterial small subunit ribosomal RNA
Source: RNAcentral
GUGGGGAAUAUUGGACAAUGGGCGAAAGCCUGAUCCAGCCAUGCCGCGUGUGUGAAGAAGGUCUUCGGAUUGUAAAGCACUUUAAGUUGGGAGGAAGGGCAGUAAGUUAAUACCUUGCUGUUUUGACGUUACCGACAGAAUAAGCACCGGCUAACUUCGUGCCAGCAGCCGCGGUAAUACGAAGGGUGCAAGCGUUAAUCGGAAUUACUGGGCGUAAAGCGCGCGUAGGUGGUUUUGUAAGUUGGAGGUGAAAUCCCCGGGCUCAACCUGGGAACUGCCUCCAAAACUACUGAGCUAGAGUACGGUAGAGGGUAGUGGAAUUUCCUGUGUAGCGGUGAAAUGCGUAGAUAUAGGAAGGAACACCAGUGGCGAAGGCGACUACCUGGACUGAUACUGACACUGAGGUGCGAAAGCGUGGGGAGCAAACAGGAUUAGAAACACGGGUAGUCC